CAUUCUCUCCUUAUGCAGAAAAUCACAUGUCUUGUGCAAAUCAAAAUUUUCGGCACCCCACUUUCCCACCUCCCACUUCCCGUCGUUCCUGUUCACGCCUCCCCCCCACGUCCAUUUUUCUCUGCAUCACUCCUCCUUCCCACUCCCCUUUUCACCGCCCGCUACCCUUACAUCCCCUUACCUCUUUUACUUUCUUCAUUCCUCCUCCAUUCUCACCAUCGACAACACCAUGGAAUCGCCUCCCCAUUCCCCUCAAGGCUCCUCUCUCCAAGUCACGCCCUUGGCAAUGCGGUCCCCUAAUCCCGAUUCCCCUCCACAACAAACCCCUCCACCACCUCCCACAGCCACCUAUAAGAGGAAAAUCCGAUCGAAAUCCACCCGACCCAUGGCUUCUGCACCACCUCUCACAAAACGCAAAGACCCACCUCCACUCCACUUUCAGAGCCUUCACCCAAAAACCCCAAAACUUCAACCUCCACACGACAUGGGGUUGGCGUUUCUACCUCUACCCCACAAGCCAAAUCACCCUCUUCUAGCAAAAAGCAAAUUUCAG
RNAcentral lists this unclassified non-coding RNA (553 nucleotides) under Hevea brasiliensis (rubber tree). The record is from RNAcentral. Lineage: Eukaryota; Viridiplantae; Streptophyta; Magnoliopsida; Malpighiales; Euphorbiaceae.